AGUCCACCCUCCACCUUGUCCUCAGGCUCAGGGGAGGUAUGCAAAUCUUUGUGAAGACUCUUACAGGCAAGACCAUCACUCUUGAGGUUGAGAGCUCCGAUACCAUUGACAAUGUCAAAGCGAAGAUCCAGGACAAAGAGGGCAUCCCCCCAGACCAGCAGCGUCUAAUCUUUGCUGGGAAGCAACUCGAAGAUGGCCGCACCCUUGCGGACUAUAACAUCCAGAAGGAGUCUACUCUCCAUCUGGUGCUCCGCCUCAGGGGUGGCAUGCAGAUCUUUGUCAAGACGCUCACCGGGAAGACCAUUACUCUUGAGGUGGAGAGCUCUGAUACGAUUGACAAUGUGAAGGCGAAGAUCCAGGACAAGGAGGGGAUUCCUCCGGACCAGCAGAGGCUGAUCUUUGCU
This 404-nucleotide unclassified non-coding RNA is filed under the name Hevea brasiliensis (rubber tree). The record is from RNAcentral. Lineage: Eukaryota; Viridiplantae; Streptophyta; Magnoliopsida; Malpighiales; Euphorbiaceae.